Long non-coding RNA from Phragmites australis (common reed), 10334 nucleotides. RefSeq lists it as uncharacterized. Lineage: Eukaryota; Viridiplantae; Streptophyta; Magnoliopsida; Poales; Poaceae. The transcript is spliced from 3 exons. The record is from RefSeq and is a predicted model, not a curated record.
GAAGGAUAAGGGGCAGUCGGUUCUGAUCGUCUUGGGCCGGAUCGAGAGAGGGCGAGGGACAGAGGGAUGAGAGAGAGGAGGAAGAUGGCGGCGGGAGGGGGCGAAGGAGAGCACCGACGGCCGGAGAACGGGGCGAUGGGCCAUAUCAGGCGGCGGCUCGGCCAGGGAAGAAGCUCGGCGACAUGGCCCAGGUAUGUGGGGUUCGGAGCUAGGGUUAGGGGCUCGGUUGGAGAGGGAGAAGGAAGGAAGGGCGGAAGAGGAGGCGCUCACCGGUGGGGGAAGGCGCGGCAGUCGGCGCUAGGGAAGGUGACUGGGGCGGCGGCUGCCAGAUUUGGUGAAGCAAGGGGAGGAAGAAGAGGAGGAGGUGGUGGUGAGAGAGAGAGGGCUGCUGGCUUUUAUAGGCGGAGGAGGAGCGCGGCGAGGACACUGGCGGUAUGGGCGCGGCAUGGAGCUGAUGGUGGCGACGGUGUGACCGCAGUGCACGGCGAGGACGCUGGGGGCGCUUGUGCGAUGCAACGGGUACUGUACAGGCAUUCGCGGCGGUACUGUGCGCGAGCAGGGCGACGCGACGGAGAGCGACGGAGAGGGCAGCGAGACGUGGGAGAGAGAAAGGGGAACAGUUGGGGAGAGAGGAGAAUUUUUUUUCUUGUCUUUUUUUGUUUCGUGAAUUCAUGGUGUGACACAGUUAGACAGGUUGUCUAGCUAGGUUUGUUGCUUGCUUUUCUUACUUUUGCUUUCCAAUACUAUGCUCUUCUUCAAAAUUACGUGUCAAUGCUUUCUCUUUUCACUACUUUUUAUGGAAUUACUUUUCCUGGUUUUACACACACAAACCAAACUUGAUGUCAUACAUGGAACAAGCCUGCUCAUGGUAACACACCUUAGGAAACUGCAAAUACAGAACCCUUACCUGGAAGUAACAUAAUCCUUGGGAUACUCUUACCAUAAUAUUAAUACAAUGUCGUGGAGGAGAGUCAUGUACAUGUUUGCUCUUUGUCCAAUAUUAAACUGAGAUGUUCUUCAAUUCACUUUAAUGACAAUGAUCCUCUACCUGAGAUUGCACGAUAUAUGCGUCAAAAGAGUCUUAAAUGCUAGGGAAAAAUACCUACAUACCACUAUUUCACAACCAGUUUGUUUUAGCACUACUUAGUUACUGCAAGCUGCUCCGUCUAGCACUACACCGUCAGAUCGUAAACUAACGGCCUAAAUCAGUCUUGAUGAUCUCCCACCGUUAAAGCCGUUAGGCCUGCCUCAUCCUCUUCUUCCCCCCAAAGGUCGCCACAGCACCCUCCUCUGACUGUGAAGGCGACCAACCCGUGGCCUUCCGUUCAAUUUCGCUGCACUACCUCUAGCGCGGAGCCCCUGCACAAGGUCCUGCACGUGGCUCCCGUCCCAUUAGCACCACAAGAGCUGCGGAGGUGGUCGGGCAUCGAGGCGGGACAUUUGCUGCGUUCUGGGACUUCCUCUCCAGCACCCAGAUCUGGCCGUGCUGACUGACCCCAUCCGCACCUCGAGGCUCCGUUGUUGCAUAGCUCCGCUGCAGAGUCGCGCCUCCGUGCCACGUACACACAAGGCCCGGGUGUGUGGGACAUCUUUGUGCAACCCCACCCAGCCUGGGAUGGUCCAUGUCCGAGAGGUACUGGAGCAUGACCAGUGGGUCUAUGUUGGAUGGGUUGUUUGUUUCGUUCCAUUGAAGCAUGCCCCGCUGCAUUUCUUUCCCGUCGAUAAGAUCUCCAAUCGUUUCCUGUCAUGAUCCAUAAUUUUUUCACGAAGAAAUUUUCAUCCUUUUUAGCGCUUCAACGAUUUUCCUUUAUGGUUCCUGUUACAAAGGAAUUCUCAAAGUCAUUCCAUUCAGGACGAGAUUCUAUCGUUUUUCCCUUCACGAAUCCCUUUGAAGGGAAACUGUUGAAAAUGAGAUAAAAUAAAGAGAAUGGGAACGAGAAAAAAAAUCGGGAAAGGAACGAAAUGAAAAUAAUAUGGUUGAAGAUGGUCUAAGGAAGAUCAUUGCUUGCUUUGGAUUGGAUGGUUUUUAUCGGUGUCGGUUCUUAACUUCUAAGUGGUUGAUCACACGCAAGAGUUUAAGAACCUGCACUGAUACGUCAACAGUACCGGUUACUGUUAAACCGGUACUGAUGUACCGGUUCCAACAACGAACCAGUACUGAUAGUGUUUGUCAGUGCUGGUUUCAUAUACCAACUAGCACUGAUGGGUCACUACAAUAUAAAGUUCCACUUUCUUCCACAAGCGUGACCUGCGCGAUCAGAGCUGCCGCAAGCCCACCAGAACAAUGCCGAUCUUGCAAUGAUUCUUUCAUUAUUGAUGAGAAUAAUAAAUUAAAAUAAUUGAAAAAGUAAUCAAGGAUCUAGCAAGAUGCUAUAUUGAAGAAUCCAAAAUUAGACAAAUUUUGGAUAGUCAAAGGUUUUGCAUAAAAAAAAAGGUUUUGGGUAUAUUCCUAAGAAGGGUAAUAAAGCAUUCAUACAUCCAAACCACUUUUACGAAGGAUAGCGGUUAUUGCAUAAAAUGUAAGAAAGCUAGGCAUGUUGAAAACAAUUACAAAAAUAUCAAGGAUAAUUUAUAUGCAUAUUUUGUUUCAUACUAUGUUUUUAAGAGAUGUUCAAAUGGUAGUGUUAAAGUUAAAUUUGUUAGCACUUCUAUAAUUAAUGCAAAAAAGAAUAUCAUUUGAGUGUCUAAAGGUUUGAUAACUAACAUCUAAGGAUAUUUGUUUGGGUAUUUAAAAGAAUUUAACUUUGUUUUGUAGGUAAACUACAAGUCUAGUGAGGGUAUUAGGUGCUAGAUAGUGAGUGCAGUCAACAUAUGUCCGGAAAUCAAAUGAUGUUUAUAUAUAUGAGCAAUGUUAGAUCGGAAUAUAACAAAAUCAUUUUUGGAGAUAAUAACAAAUAAAAGGUAAAAGGUUUAGGUAAAAUUACUAUCUCAAAUGAUUUAUCUAUUUCAAAUGUUGUACUAGUUAAAUCUCUAAAUUUUAAUUUAUUUUCUGUUACUCAAUUAUGUGAUCUUGAUCUUUCAUGUAUAUUCUCUUUAAAUGAUAUGAUAAUAUCUAGCAUGAAGGAUAAAAGUAUAGUUUUUAAAUGCUUUAGACAUGAAAAUCUUUAUCUAAUUGAUUUCUCUUCUAAUGAUGCAAGCCUAAGCACAUGUUUGUUUACAAAGUUAUCAAAAUGUUGUCUUUUUCAGAGAAUGCUCGGUCAUAUUGGUAUGAAUCAACUAAAUCAUUUAUUGAAGCAUGAUCUAGUAGUAGGGUUAAAGGAUGUAGAAUUUGGAAAAAAAAAAGCUAUAUAGCGCUUGUCAAGUCAGAAAGCAAGUAGAGAAUUCACAUCUGUAUGGAAGCUCAAUGUCAACAUCAAGACCAUUCGAAGUAUUACAUAUAUAUUUACUUUGUCCAGCCACAUAUGUAAGAUUGAAGGGGCUAAAAAUGAAUUUGAGUUCGAAGUCAAGAAAGUAAGAAGUGAUCAUAGUUUUGAAUUCAAGAACACAAAUGUUGAAGAUUUUUGUGAAGAAAAGGGAAUCAAGUAUGAAUUCUCAGUCAAAUACACUUCGAAGAAAAAUAGAGUAGUUGAAAGAAAGAAUCAGACUCUAAUUGAUAUGAUAAGAUCAUGCUUUUGGAAUAUAAUAUUUUGGAUAAUUUUUGGGUCGACUUUCUUCAAAUCGAUUAUAUUGUUACCAAUUGUUGAAGAUGACUCUAUAUGAGCUUAUUGAGAGGAAACCGAACAUCUUAUUUGUGGCAUUUGGAUGUAAAUACUACAUUUAAAAAAGUGGAAGUCAAAGUGGACUUGAAUGAAAAUUGAUUAGGAGGUUGGCUAGCUGCACUAAGCCAAAGAGGAGAUUGGUGGAGUCAGACUGCGAUGAUGAUCCUCAGGACUUUGAGUGGAUUCCUCCUUAGGGCAACGUCGGUGUGGAGUCCUCAUCUUUUGCUAGAAAUGUCAGUGAUCAUAAUAUGCAUGAUGCUAGUGAUGAUGAUGAAUAAAUCAAUCAUCAAGCUUAUAGAGGUUAUAUAAAAUCUUGGACCUAAGUAUACUAGAGCUAAAAGUGUCUAUGAAUAUGCUCUAGAUAAUGAUGUCACUAACUCUCAAUUCUAUACUAGGGUACAAUAAGAUGUUAUUUAUGGUCACGUUCUGAAAAAAGACCAUCUAUAAGCAAAAAUGGAUUGAUGGGAACUAUGUGAGAGGAUAGUGUAACAUUAAUGGUCUUGCUGAAAACUUUCAAGAAUUAGGUCUUUAUGAACUUAAGAAUUUCGAGUGUGAUUGAAAUGCUAUUAUCAUGAGACAAUUCUAUGAAAUUGUUGAAAUUGCACAUAAGAGUCAGAAGAUUGAAUGGAUGAUCGGAUCCCAAAAAUAUGAGGCUACAUUUAGGGAGUAUGCAACUGAUGUGCGAAUUUCCUAUGCUGUUGUAUAUGGAUCCAUUAAUGUGUUUGAGGACCCUCCUUGACCGAGGAUGUAUAGAGCACUUACUGUGAGCCACUGGGUGUAGUUUCAAUAGUCACCAUUAGAACAGUUACAUAUUUAAAGGUGUUACCUGCAACUAUCAACAAGAUCGAAGGUCAAAGAGUGAAGGUGAUAUGCCCUAGAGGCAAUCAUAAAGAUGAUUAUAUUACACGUUUAUGUUACUGUACUUUUGAAUAAUAUGUUAUUCCAAAAAUAACUACAUUUUACAUUGAUUGGCAAGUAUGUGGUUUGUUCAUGAAACUCUUUGUUUAUAUCAUGAUGUUAUUCUUAGUCGAUCCCUAAUCGUAUAUUAUUGUGAUGAUACAUAAGACCAGCACAUGUAUUGAUUGAUGAUCAUAUUUAAUGGAUCAUAUGUAUAGAGAUACCAAGUCAAUAAUGUGGAUAUUUAUGUUAGAGAAUAUGAUGUUGGAUAGACCUACCUUGAGAUACUACUGAGAUUGUUAUUUAUGAUGUCCUAUCAGUUGUUAUCUCAAAUAGUGUACCUACAGGAUCCUUAAACCUAAGAUCAUCAUUGAUUCUCAGAAUAUGUAGUAGCAUAUUUUGAUGCGGCCAAACGUUAUUCCGUAACUGAGUAGUCAUAAAGGUAGUUUUUGAGCUUAUCAUGAAAUAUAUCGUGGGGUGUGAGCGAUCAAGAUGAAAUUUUUCCCUCCUUGAUAAUGAGAGAGAUAUCUCUGGACCCCUCGAGGUAGUUGGAUCGAGAAAGUGUAUGGCCAUACCAAUAUGAUUAAAGAGUUAGUCAUGAUAAAUCCACUACUUGAUCGAGUGAUGAUCGAUCUAUCAAAAGGGUGAUACGUAUCUUUUCUUGAGCUUGGCUGGUAUCGUGAGGCGAAAGGAUCGGUGCAUAUGUAUAUCAAGGUUUAGCCAAUAUGAUUUUUUGUGUAUAUUCAGGAGUCAACAUGUCUUGCUAGGGACCACUAUUGAUUUCGGUUUAGAAAAGGUUUCUGAGUCAUAGCCAUUUGUAUAUGAACCUAACGGGUCACAUACUUAAUGGGUUGGAACAAAACAUGUGAAUUGGAUUCGUAUAUGGCUUUUUGAUUGGAUUGUGAUCCAUGAAAAGUUAGAGUCCUAAAGGGCUUCCAACGUGUGAGCCUAUUGGCGAGCUCUAUAUAAGGAGAGGCGUGUGUAGGGCAUGCUAAGGGAGAGCCACUCCGAAACCCUAGCCGCAGCUUUCUACACGAUCUCUCAAAAUCCUAGCUGCGCGUGCGGUGCUAGCACAUCGGUGCUGCUACUAUUGCGGCGCUGAUCUUCUCGACGAGUUGAUCGCGACGUGUUCGAGGACUGGUCGUCUGUCGUGACAAACUGGUCAACGUACCUGCUCAUCUGGUCGUGGAGCACAACAUGAUCACUCGGAUCUAGUCGGAUAGCAUCACACAACCACUCAAAAUUGGUCGAGGACGCGACAGACCUGAUCGGGAAUUGGUCGAGGAGCACGAUAACCUGCUCAAAGUUGGUCGGGGAGCGUGACCACCUUCGGGGGGUUGGUCGCGAAUCUGACUGAAAAGCUGCUCGUGGAGUUUGACGCGCACGACGUUAGAUUGGUCUACUUCAACUCUUCUUCCACUGCACUGCGUGUCGAGCGGUAAUGAUCUAUGAUCUCCUACUAGCAUCGUUUCCUGGGUGAAUGCGGUAGAAAUUUUUUAUUUUAGGCUAGCGUAGGCUGCUCGUUAUCCAACAAAGAGUAGGGGUGCAAGACACUGUCUAGCACACGUGAUUGAUGUUUAGCAUCAAUGACUGGAUCAAUCAGUUGAAGGAUUGCCAUGCCUUCAAUCAAAGUUUAACAGAGUAAAAAAAUGAGAUAUGCCGAAAUGCAACAAUACAAAUUGAAAAUCAUUCAUAGUUCAACACAUAGUAUUACAGUCCGAUAGAUAAGAGCAUACAUAGUCCAAUAAAUAAUAUUACACAUAAAAGCAUACAUAGUCCAAUAAAUAAUAUUACAAUAUGACACAUAAAAGCAUACCUAGUCCAACAAAUAAUAUUACAAUCAGACACAUAGAUAGUCCAACACAUAUUAUUACAAUCUACACAUAAUAUUACAACAUAAUCAUUAUUCCAAAGGUACAAAUCAAGCGCUCAGGCCAGCUUGCCUAUUCUUCAUAGACUUACGCAUCGGAACAUGACACACAGUCUCCACCAUGCUGUGAUGUGUAAAGCUCACAAUCCUUCCUCGAAUGCUCCCCGCACAUCAAACAUUCCUUUUGGCGACCUCUGGCUAGCCUCCGAUUCAUCCAUGGAAUUUCUUAUUUGACGAGUCUUACUCCAUCCCUUGGUAUCGACCUUGGUGUCUGGGUCAGGAAUCCAGGGUAUUGUAUGCUCUAGAAGCUUAAUGAAGUUAGUGACUCCCUACCAUCCACACAGUUCACCAUGCCCUUCAUAUAGUAAGGAGAAACAAAGUGGAUGAGCUUGAUCUUCCCUUUUGCGCAAGCUGCAAACACAUGUGAGCACGGCAAGUGUAGGAGGGAAGGUUUGUUGCAAGUUCACUCACACCAUCUAACUGCUAGCCAUAACACACAUUUCAUUGUGAUUUCGAACUGGCCAACUCCAAACCCACUCUUGUCACGCAAAAGCACCUCAAAUAUGAAUAUUCUCUGUGACCCAUGAACCAUACUCAAUGCAUCUGACCGUUCAUGCUCUUGUCAUACAUGUAUUUGGUGAUCUUUUCCAUGAACACCAUCUACAAGUUUGCUAAGUGUAGUGAUGCAAUGGUGUACCUCUGCCUGAGAUACUUAUGUGUCCUGCGGGUUAUACCCUCCACAAUUGCUACUAAUGGAAGAGAACGAGUUUCAUUCAUCACCCAAUUGUAGACUUCUUCAAGAUUUGUGGUCAUAAUACCAUAACACAAGCCAUCAAUGUCAAAAAUGAGGGCCCAUUUCUCCUUAGGCUCAUGCUUCAUCCAAUCUGAGAAACACUUCACCCUCCUUCCAUCCUUCGUCCUCCUCUUCAUGGUGCUUGGUUCGUGAGGAAUGGGAUCAAGCCCAUGCGGCUUAUCCUCCCUCAGCAAAAUAGGUUUCUUCAGUACUUCUUUCAUGUGGCUACUAGCUAGGUGUUCAAGCUCCUCUCAUAGGACAUUAAACUUCCUCAUAUGGUUCUAUUUGCACAACUCCUUGAACAGUUCCAUCAGGCGAUUACUUUUGAACUGCUUAUAAAAGUUUUGCCCUCAAGUGCCUCAUGCACUAGUGACUAUGCAAGUAUAGCCAGAAGAACGUCUUAGUCGUGCUAGUCUGCAACAUAUUAAUCGCUGAAAGCAAGCCUGUAAGCCAAUCAUAGAGGAUGCAAACAUUAGGCCUGUCACCGAUAACCAGUCUCUUAAUCUUCCUCAAGAACCAAAGCCAACUUUGCGUGUUCUCAGAUUCAACAAAGGCAAAUACCACAUGUACUACUUGGUUCUCUCCAUCCACCUCGACAGCAGUAAGAAUCCGGCAUUUGUAUUUUCCUAUCAAGAAAGUUCCAUCGACACAUAGCACUAGCCUGUAGUUCACGAAUGCUUCGAUCAUACAACCAAAAGAUCAAAAAGCCCAUUGAAGCGCGGGCGGGUGAGAAGAUCUCUAACGGGUGGGCAGCGAUGCCUUGCGGCACAAGCUCUACCUAUCGCCACAUGGUUUGGCAACAUGUAUCCUAUCGUAGCUGACACCAGAGUAAAUGUCGUGGCGCACAACCUGUUGCAAGACGGAAUGAUUACAGGUACCUAAUCGACAACUCGUCUAGCCACAGGGUGCUAUUUUGACAAUUCUCCUUAAACAAAUAUUCAUUUUGCAAUUUUCUUUUAAAAUAAUAUUAUUUUAAAAAAAAUCUUCGAAGUACUAUGAUCGGUUGUACUCUCAGGUUGUAACACACUGAGGUGUGGCACAUGGGGGUAUAGUUCUAAAACACUGAGGUCGUACUUCUCAAAUAUCCAUCUACCUGCUGAGUGUGGUACAGGUGUGUACCUGAGAGUACACGUUGAUCCUGGAGGAGCAACGCGUGGGGUAAUUAGGCCCACUUACCAAUCUUCGUAUUAAUAUACGUGCUGGCCAUCAGGUAGAAUAUCAUAUCUCGGAAUGUCAGCAUCCCAAUAGAAAAAUAUGCAAGACACAAGAUAUGAGCCCGUAGUGAGUUUUAAACUGCCGUCCAAAAAAUUACAUAAGCAAAUGUAGAGUGCCAUGGUACGGCACAAUCCACUAGAAUAUUUGGAUUACAUCAAGUGUAAUAACGUGUAUCAAUAGUUGGCUAAAGAACUUUUUUUUAGACGGUCAGAAAAAAAUGCACCAACCAUGUCAAUUUGUAAUUCCAAGUAGUAGUCGUUGUAGUAGCAUGCAAGGUGCAGCAUACAAACACCUUUGUCCUCACUGCAAAGGUAGAUUACACAUUGGUUAGGUAUUUUUUGUUGGCGCUUGAACAAAGUAAGUGGAUUAAUACAGUUGACUUACAGCUGAAAAUGAUCCUCAAGUAGUUUUGGGAAUACCAAUUCUUAUCCAUGUGAAAGGAAAUAAUCUCUUCAGUUCUUACAAAGGACAACCUUUUUUUGGUGGAUUACAAGAAGGUUUCCUCACAAAAAAUCUUCACAUAUUAUAAAUGUUAAGCUCUCUUUUUCUCUCCUCCAAAACUUAUCUCUCAAGGCUCAAAUGGUUGUCUCACUCUUCUCCUACAACUCUACCCUUCUAUUUAUAGAUCUAGAGAUGUUGCUUAGCUCUUAAACUUUUUUGUUUCUAAAAUACAUCUAUUGGUGUAAAGAAUAAUAGAGUCUCCUAAUAGGACAUCCACGACGGUCAAAUAUUAACUUUUUCUAUACAUCAUGAUUGGGCAGGACCAUGGUCCCCUGGCGCAUUCAGCCAGCAAACACAUGAUCAGUUUCUCCGACCAGUCUUCAGGUCUCACAGGGAAACCCUGCUAUCAGUUUUCUCUCGUUACGGGGCAAAUAUGUGCCUAAUCAGUCUAAUUUAAUUACAUACUUUUCUACUCAAGUGUUAUCUCUUACUCAGGUUGUCCUUUAGGGCAGAUCUAGGCGUGACCGGUAUAGCCUUGUCGUGUCCCGUUCCGUAGAAUUAAACACUACAGCACGGCGUGACAAAGUGUGGCACUAGGUUUUGCAGGAGCACAGACAGAUGGGACCUGACAGACUAGGCGAUAAGGAUGGCACGAGCGUGUGUGUUGUGCAGGGAUGGGGUGAGAUGUGAGGAGCGACCUCUAGUACCAGAUCUUUUUAAAGAAUAUUCUUUUAAUAUGUUGGGUGAAACUAUUACUCUAAAAUAGUGGGUCGAAGCCAUAUACUUUUACUAAUCAUACUCAUUAGUAAAAUAAUCAAUGAUAUUAAUAUGUUAUAUUACUAAUUAAUAUAUAUUACUACGAGAUUAAAGUUUUUAAGUGUUAAUGUGCUAAUUAGUGGUAAUUAAUGAGUUAAUUAAAGUAUGAUUAGUGUUCAUUGGCAUAUUUUAUUGUUAACCAGUAAUGACUAUAGCCAGAGUAAUAUUAAUAUGCGUUAAUGCAUAUUAAUUAGUGUAUUAUUAAUGAUUAUUAUUUAAAAUUAAAAAAUAUAAUUAAUUAAUAAUUCUCGUCUUACCUAUUAUCCCUCCAACUGGAUAAAAAAAGAUUCAUCCCAUCUAUCUAAUUAAAAAAUUAUUCUAUAAAUAAUGAUAUCUCAUCCAUCUUGGUAUCCCAGGGUAAAAAAAAGCAAUCCAGGCAUUACUUCCCGUCAGCCGAACGCCCACCGGCGAACCUUUUUCCUGAGUUGUCCAAUCCAAGAGGGAAUCCCUCGUACCUCAGUGUCAGGGCAUCGUACGGUUCAUACUUGUUGGUUCUUGGUAUGAUCUCUAAUAAAUAUAUUUGAUUAUUAUUUUUUAACUAUUUUUUUUUAUAAAAAUUGAUAAAAAAUUAGAUGAUAUUAAAGUAUUUUUAUCACAAAUUUAU